CGGGAGAAUUGCUAGCUUGCUAAUAAUUCUCUAGUGGCGCACGGGUGAGUAACACGUGAGUAACCUGCCCCCAAGAGUGGGAUAGCCCCGGGAAACUGGGAUUAAUACCGCAUAAAAUCGCAAGAUUAAAGCAGCAAUGCGCUUGGGGAUGGGCUCGCGUCCUAUUAGUUAGUUGGUGAGGUAACGGCUCACCAAGGCGAUGACGGGUAGCCGGUCUGAGAGGAUGUCCGGCCACACUGGAACUGAGACACGGUCCAGACACCUACGGGUGGCAGCAGUCGAGAAUCAUUCACAAUGGGGGAAACCCUGAUGGUGCGACGCCGCGUGGGGGAAUGAAGGUCUUCGGAUUGUAAACCCCUGUCAUGUGGGAGCAAAUUAAAAAGAUAGUACCACAAGAGGAAGAGACGGCUAACUCUGUGCCAGCAGCCGCGGUAAUACAGAGGUCUCAAGCGUUGUUCGGAAUCACUGGGCGUAAAGCGUGCGUAGGCGGUUUCGUAAGUCGUGUGUGAAAGGCGGGGGCUCAACCCCCGGACUGCACAUGAUACUGCGAGACUAGAGUAAUGGAGGGGGAACCGGAAUUCUCGGUGUAGCAGUGAAAUGCGUAGAUAUCGAGAGGAACACUCGUGGCGAAGGCGGGUUCCUGGACAUUAACUGACGCUGAGGCACGAAGGCCAGGGGAGCGAAAGGGAUUAGAUACCCCUGUAGUCCUGGCAGUAAACGGUGCACGCUUGGUGUGCGGGGAAUCGACCCCCUGCGUGCCGG
RNAcentral lists this ribosomal RNA (762 nucleotides) under uncultured bacterium. RNAcentral's name for it is "bacterial SSU rRNA". It matches the Rfam family "Bacterial small subunit ribosomal RNA", at positions 67 to 849 of the family's 1533-position model. The record is from RNAcentral.